This 584-nucleotide ribosomal RNA is filed under the name Isochrysis galbana. Its description in RNAcentral is "partial Bacterial large subunit ribosomal RNA". It matches the Rfam family "Bacterial large subunit ribosomal RNA", at positions 1228 to 1812 of the family's 2925-position model. Lineage: Eukaryota; Haptophyta; Isochrysidales; Isochrysidaceae. The record is from RNAcentral.
GUAGGAGAGCGUCCUGUUCUGCGAUGAAGCCAAGGGGGAACCCGCGGUGGAGCGUACAGGAGUGAGAAUGCCGGCACAAGUAACCGCAAGAUGGGUGAGACCCCCAUCCGCCGAAAUACCGAGGUUUCCUUCGCGAUGUUGAUCAGCGAAGGGUUAGUCGGUCCUAAGGGAAUCCCGAACGGGGGACCCGAUGGAUAGCAGGUUAAUAUUCCUGCACACCGUAUUCGUUCCGAUGGAGGGACGGAGGGUUGUACUCAGAGCAUCUUAUUGGAUUGGUGCUGGAGCUAUGAGGGUAUCGUCUAGGUAAAUCCGGACGCUGUUAGCCCAAGUAGAGUCUGAAUGCGCGGCUACGGCCAAGCAAAUCUGGGGAGCACGCUUCCAAGAAAAACUUCUAAGGUUGUACGCGUACGGUUCCGUACCUAAACCGACACAGGUGGUAAGGUCGAGAAGACCAAGGCGAACGAGUGAGAGGUCCUUAAGGAACUCGGCAAAAAAGCGGCCGUAACUUCGGGAUAAGGCCUGCCCCAGCACUUUCGGGUGUCUGGGGCCGCAGCGAAAGAUUUCCUGGCGACUGUUUAACAAAA